This 774-nucleotide ribosomal RNA is filed under the name uncultured bacterium. RNAcentral describes it as "bacterial SSU rRNA". It matches the Rfam family "Bacterial small subunit ribosomal RNA", at positions 35 to 754 of the family's 1533-position model. The record is from RNAcentral.
GCUGGCGGCAUGCCUAGACAUGCAAGUCGAACGAGGUAGCCCAUUGAUUAAAUAGUGCUUGCAUUAUUUAUGAUUUGGAAUUUCUACCUAGUGGCGAACGGGUGAGUAACACGUGGGUAACCUACCUUUAAGUUGGGAAUAACAGUUGGAAACGAUUGCUAAUACCGAAUAACAUAUUAGAAGACAACUUCUAAUAUUAAAAGGCGCUUUCAAGCGUCGCUUAUAGAUGGGCCCGCGCUGUAUUAGUUAGUUGGUGGGGUAAUGGCCUACCAAGACUACGAUGCAUAGCCGAACUGAGAGGUUGAUCGGCCACACUGGGACUGAGACACGGCCCAGACUCCUACGGGAGACAGCAGUUAGGGAUAUUCGUCAAUGGGGGAAACCCUGAACGAGCAAUGCCGCGUGAGUGAUGACAGUCUUUGGAUUGUAAAACUCUGUUGUAUGGAAAGAACGUCAAAAGUAGGAAAUGACUUUAGAGUGACGGUACCAUACCAGAAAGCCCCGGCUAACUACGUGCCAGCAGCCGCGGGUAAUACGUAGGGGGCAAGCGUUGUCCGGUUUUAUUGUGCGUAAAGGGUGCGCANGCGGUUUAUUUAAGUCNUAAGGUGAAAUACUGAAGCUCAACUUCAGUCAGCCUUUAGAAACUAUUUAUACUUGAGUUAUGGGUAGAGGCAAGGUGGAAUUUUCUAGUGUAGCGGGUAAAAUGCGUAGAUUUUUAAAAGGAACACCAGUGGCGNAAGGCGACUUGCUGGGCCAUUACUGACGCUCAUGCAC